UACGUAGGGGGCCAGCGUUGCUCGGAAUUACUGGGCGUAAAGGGUUCGUAGGUGGCCACUUAAGUCAGACGUGAAAUCCCUCAGCUUAACUGGGGAACUGCGUCUGAUACUGAGUGGCUUGAGUGCAGGAGAGGAAUGCGGAAUUCCAGGUGUAGCGGUGAAAUGCGUAGAUAUCUGGAGGAACACCGGUGGCGAAGGCGGCAUUCUGGACUGUAACUGACACUGAGGAACGAAAGCCAGGGGAGCAAACGGG
RNAcentral lists this ribosomal RNA (253 nucleotides) under uncultured bacterium. RNAcentral describes it as "partial 16S ribosomal RNA". It matches the Rfam family "Bacterial small subunit ribosomal RNA", at positions 524 to 776 of the family's 1533-position model. The record is from RNAcentral.